RNAcentral lists this long non-coding RNA (806 nucleotides) under Vitis vinifera (wine grape). RNAcentral's name for it is "long non-coding RNA (VVIN_LNC003867)". Lineage: Eukaryota; Viridiplantae; Streptophyta; Magnoliopsida; Vitales; Vitaceae. The record is from RNAcentral.
CCUGAUAGCAUUGGAGACUUGGAAUCUCUUAGGCUUCUUGAUCUCUCUGGUUGCUCAAAGUUUGAGAAAUUUCCGGAGAAGGGAGGGAACAUGAAAAGUUUAGUGGAGCUUGAUUUAAAAAAUACUGCUAUUAAGGAUCUGCCUGAUAGCAUUGGAGACUUGGAAUCUCUUGAGUCUCUUGAUCUCUCUGAUUGCUCAAAGUUUGAGAAAUUUCCGGAGAAGGGAGGGAACAUGAAAAGCUUAAAGUGGCUUUAUUUAACAAAUACUGCUAUUAAGGAUCUGCCUGAUAGCAUUGGAGACUUGGAAUCUCUUUUGUCUCUUCAUCUCUCUGAUUGCUCAAAGUUUGAGAAAUUUCCGGAGAAGGGAGGGAACAUGAAAAGUUUAAUGAAGCUUGAUUUAAGAUAUACUGCUAUUAAGGAUCUGCCUGAUAGCAUUGGAGACUUGGAAUCUCUUAGGCUUCUUGAUCUCUCUGAUUGCUCAAAGUUUGAGAAAUUUCCGGAGAAGGGAGGGAACAUGAAAAGCUUAAAGAAGCUUUUUUUAAGAAAUACUGCUAUUAAGGAUCUGCCUGAUAGCAUUGGAGACUUGGAAUCUCUUGAGUCUCUUGAUCUCUCUGAUUGCUCAAAGUUUGAGAAAUUUCCGGAGAAGGGAGGGAACAUGAAAAGUUUAAUGGACCUUGAUUUAACAAAUACUGCUAUUAAGGAUCUGCCUGAUAGCAUUGGAGACUUGGAAUCUCUUAAGUUUCUUGUUCUCUCUGAUUGCUCAAAGUUUGAGAAAUUUCCAGAGAAGGGAGGGAACAUGAAAAGUUU